Molecule: long non-coding RNA, 170 nt
Organism: Quercus lobata
Lineage: Eukaryota; Viridiplantae; Streptophyta; Magnoliopsida; Fagales; Fagaceae
Exons: 3
Source: RefSeq, a predicted model, not a curated record
GUUGUGUCCCCAAAAACUAUUUUGAAGGAAACACAGAGUAGUCUGGAUACUAGUGGAUCUACAAAUGUAAAUUCUAAUCUCAGACAUUCCAGUCCACUUUUUAACGUUUCGUGCCUCUUUGCGGAAAUGGUUCAGCAUGGAAUUCGUUGCAUUGCUUUUUGUAAAUCGCG